CCUUGAAAGAGUGCGUAACAGCUCACUGGUCAAGUGAUUCUGCGCCGAUAAUGUAGCGGGGCUUAAGCACACCGCCGAAACCGCGGCAACACAUUUGGUGUUGGGUAGGGGAGCGUCGUGCAUGUGUUGAAGCUAUCUGGUGAUAGGUGGUGGAGUGUGUGCGAGUGAGAAUGCAGGCAUGAGUAACGAGUGAUGUGUGGGAAACAUAUCCGCCGGAUGACUAAGGGUUCCUGGGUGAAGUUUAUCUUCCCAGGGUGAGUCGGGGCCUAAGGCGAGGCCGACAGGCG
RNAcentral lists this ribosomal RNA (287 nucleotides) under Chaetoceros curvisetus. Its description in RNAcentral is "partial Bacterial large subunit ribosomal RNA". It matches the Rfam family "Bacterial large subunit ribosomal RNA", at positions 1120 to 1411 of the family's 2925-position model. Lineage: Eukaryota; Bacillariophyta; Thalassiosirophyceae; Chaetocerotales; Chaetocerotaceae. The record is from RNAcentral.